This 1920-nucleotide long non-coding RNA is filed under the name Homo sapiens (human). RNAcentral's name for it is "HSALNT0319400". The record is from RNAcentral. Lineage: Eukaryota; Metazoa; Chordata; Mammalia; Primates; Hominidae.
GAGAAGUUAACUGUUAUUUUGAACUCUGAAUCUCAUAUAGACCAGUGUUCACUUUAUCUUACUCUCUCUCUCUCCUCUCUCUCACUCUCUGUCUCUGAAAUUUCUUCAGAUUUUUUAUUUGUUUCUGGUGCUCUUACUUUUCACAAUGUUGGAACUUAUUGAUGGUUCUGUCUGUGUCUAUUGGGCUGGACAUGCUUUAGGAUCUUUUAUAACCUGUACUCAGUUUGAGUAGUUUCUUGGGUUGAUUCCGUUUUGAUUUUCUCAUUUCUUUGGAAAUUUAUAAUUUUAAAAUUUUGGACCACUGAGAACAUUUUUAAAUUGUCUUAAUCUAACUUUCCACUUCUAUUCUUUUGCCUAUUCUUCUUAGAUAAUUUUUACACUUUAUUUUCAAGCCCUUCUAUUAAUAUUUUUAUUUCUGCUGUGUUAUUUCUAAGACUUACAGAUUUUAUAAUGCUAUUUUUUAGCAUCUCUCCUAUUUUGUGGAUAUGUCAUCUUUUCUCUCUGAAUAUGAUAAUGAGGCUUUCAUUUGUUUUCUAAGUUUUUAUAUCCCUAGGUAUUUACUGUUUUGAUAAUUUUUUCUUCCCUGUUUGUUUGCUUUGCUUUUUUCUUCCAAGAUAAAGCCUGGAAGCUGCACGUCACCUGCCAGCUUUGUGUGUGCCCAGUGAGUGCAGGUGGCAUAAUGACCAGCGGUGACUUGAAUGACAAGGGGACAGAACAGCUGGACAAUCCAAUUCCUAGAUGCUUUCUCCAGUUAUGGCCCUGACUGGGAUCUCCGAAGAAUGACUCAGCUGAAACUAUUUCAUCAUUGCCUACAUUUGUCUUCAGACGACCUGCAGUACAAACUUGGCUUAAACCUGCAGUUGACAAUGGUAACAGGAAUCUUAUUUUAAAAAAUAAUAUGCGCCACCAGCUAAGUUGGUCAUGAUGAGGUCUGGGCCUUGAUAGCCUUCUGGGUUUUAAUUCACACAAUAUGUUUGAAAAAAGAAAAAUCAAAGUAACUGUAAUUUUUUUGUAAAGCAAAAUACUUUUUAAAAGCCAUGAGGCACGUGUUACUCAAAGGGCUCCUUGGAUGAAUUAUUUUGUAAGGCAAAUGAUUUGUUAUAGUUCCAAUGACAUCUAAAUUUGCCAGUUGUAAAUACUGGAAUUUUUGGUCCUUGCAUUGAACUUACUGGUAUUGAUGUGCUAUAUAACUAAAUGUCUUCUAAAAGGAUUCACCGUGGGAGAAUAAAUUACAAUGGAUAAAAAACAGCAUUACAAUCCCUCAAUAAAAUGGGAUUUUAACAGACAAAGGUGAGUCAGUGGUGAAAGGCAGGAGAAGAUACAACAGGUAAGUGUCUGACUUCAGGCUGGAGCCCUAAUAUAAUAAUAAGUCCUUCUUGUAUUGUAAUCUCUUACAGCUGAAUCUCCAUGUGCUCUCUCUCUCUUCUAACAUCAAUGCAGCUCCUGGUAUGUGGUCGUUCUCAGGCCCAAAGGCCCAUUUUGCUUUUGGCUGCAACUCUGUAACUCUGUAACAGAGACCAAGUGCCUGCAGGGAGCAGAUGUUUGGGGCAGUAUCUGCUAAGGUGGCUUUGCUGAAACUUGUUUCUCUCAUUGGGUCUUGGAAGUGGCGAAUAGGACGUUCCUAUAGAAAAACUCAGAAAGAUAAUGAAGCUGCUAUUUGCAAGAACUGCAUCUGUCUGACUCUCAGACAGAUCUACACCAGUGUUUAGCAGACAUGCCAAAUGAUAAGAGUCAAUCACAGCCUCUGUAGAAAAUACUGGAACCCUGAUGUGGACUUACUGAAUCAGAAUCUCCAGGCAAUAAGCUUGAGAUUCUCUGAAGCUCUUCUCCACCACAUCCAGUUCUGCAGUAUCCUUCCGAUGUCAUUUGUCUGUAGUUCAUCAGCCCCCGGCUUUUCUCCCAGCUCAAGAUCCUUUUCCA